This 41-nucleotide small RNA is filed under the name Sinorhizobium meliloti 2011. Its description in RNAcentral is "putative ncRNA". The record is from RNAcentral. Lineage: Bacteria; Pseudomonadati; Pseudomonadota; Alphaproteobacteria; Hyphomicrobiales; Rhizobiaceae.
CUUGCUGUAGCCCUCGGUCUGGCUCCAGUUCGCCGACUGCU